CUCCUUUACCUCACCUUCAUUAAUUUCUGCUUUAUAAUCAUCUUCCUUUGUUGCACUCCAUUUCCCUGUUAAGCUACAAUUAUUCACAGGUAUAUUACUUCCAUCAUUAUUUCUUUUCUUUUCAAUAUUAACUUUUAGUUGUACAUGUGUACCACAAUGAAUAUCUGAGUACAGCGGAUCAAAAUCUAGUAUUCUAAAUUCCUGUUCAUUUUUCUGAACAGUGUUGGUGAGCCAGUGACAUAAUCCACCAGUGUAGCAUAAGUAGUUGUGGGUUUCCCCACUCUAAGCUCUUCAUCUAGUCUACCAUUAAAUAUACACACAUCAUUAUUACUACAAAUUGUCACCAGGUCAAAGUCCAGAUUCGUCUUCCUCUGGGUCAUCGAUGGACCUAAAACCUGUUAAAACAAUAAGGGUAAGGCGCGUGAAGCAUAUAACACGUGGUAACAGGAAAGAGAAACUACGCCGUGUCACUCGCCACCGCCUCAACCAUUGCGGACCCUGUUAUUGCAACCACCACCACAGAUACGCCUGAUCCUACUGCUGCCACAGCCUCUUUAUCAUUGAAACACAAAAAGCAACCACCCAGCAUUUCCUCAGGUGUUCUUGGAAAGAAAAGGAGUGUGCAAAGUGGACAAGGAAGGAGGCGUAUAAAAAAAAGGUAACAGGCUCCCUCGACACAACCACCACCACCACCAGCUCUGGUGUCACCACCUCCACCGCCGUUACGUAUUUAGUUUCUUGUUUGGAAUAUUUUUUUCCCAUAGAGGAACUGUAAAAUGAAGUAGGUGUAAGAAAAUGCAGUAAAGUUACUGGUUUUUUGUUUCUUGUUGAGGAAGAACUUCUUUUUCUAGAAAAGAAACGCUUAAAGGGUUAAUGUUAGUGCAGCAGGAUUAGCACAUUAUUUCAGGCAUUACAGCACAUCAGCAUUAGCACAGCAUCACAAUUCUGUAACAACAUUAUUUUAGGCAUGACAACAUCACAAGCAGAACAACAUUACAUACAAACGCAAAACAGCAUCACAUAACAGUGAUAAUAAGAUUAAGAUGCUGUGAUGCUGAGGGUCAGAUUAUGAUGUUGUGCUGUUAGGUCUAAGAUAAUAAUGAUGUGAUGUCUAAGAUACCCUGUGAUGCUGUUAGAUCUAAGAUAAUGAGGCUGUAAUGCUGUUAUGUCUAAGAUAAAGAUGAUGUGAUUCUGUUGUCUAAGAAUAACACAACAGCAACACAGCAUCACCACCAGUACCCAGGCAUCAUCACCACACACAUCAGUUUCCCCACAAACCUCACCAUCAGACACACACAACCACCACCAGUACCCAGGCAUCACCAUGCAGCGUCACACUCAAAACAGCAGCAUCACAUUUGAACAGCCCAUGGUGAGGAAUUAAAGCAAGAGGGAAUAUUGCGUAAUAAUUGUAAGUACUCGGUAGGUUCCCACGUCACCUGUUCAAAGCAGACGAUUUUUUUUGCUUUUGCUACUUUUUGCUAUUGUGGCAGUAUGUACUUUGUUUAUUUGACAGUUUCAUCAAAUUUAUCUUAUUUUCUGAGUAAUUGCGUUUUUAAUAAUGUUUUAAGUGCAACAGGAACCGAAUUCUUGAGUAAUGAAAGAUGAGGCUACAAGAAGAAGCAGAGGAAAUUCCGAAAUGGACGUCGGUGUGUGUUUUUCCAUCUUAUUUCACCAUUUUAUCCUCAGGAAAUCUCUGCUGGGGAGACUGGUCACUUGAUAGCAACAAGAACUGACGUCAGUUGACCAAGACACCACUAGGAAUUGACAUUAGCUGACCAAGACAGGACCAGAAAUUGACACCCACUUGCCACAAUAUCAAAGAACGUUUGGGCAUUGGUCGAGUAGGGGAAUUCCCUGUGAGUUGCAUUGUCUCUACAGGACCAAUUAUCAGUUUAACACUUUGGUGGAAAGGACAGCUGUGAAGAACAUGCGAGCACUUGGGAGUUGCUUCCAUCAUGGGAGUGUCCCUCAAGAGUAGGAGCCACCCCUCUCACUGACCUGAGUCACCUGACCCUAUCAGAUUGACACAGAAGAGUGAAGGACUGCCUGCUGCCUUGAUGCAAGAAAGUUUAGGCUGCCAUCUCACUCCUGCAUUGACAGCUGAUUUGUGCUGAAGCCCACCAGUCCAGUCAAGCCAGGAGGGACCAGGUGAUCAGUGCUGAGGAGUGGAGAGUGGGCUGGCAGGAAUUAGAAGCUUUAAGAGGUUCUGAAGAAGAGAUGAAGUGGAAGAUGAACCUGGGGGCUGUCAGCUUUGUGGAAUCCUGGUAAAAUUGGAGGAUGAACUCCGCUGCCUGUCAAAUCUGUCCUGAAGUGAAGUGCUCUGACUGAAUUGGGCCUUCCGUCAUCACAGUUGAAGAGAACCCAGCUCUGUCUGAACCCUGCCUGUCAGUUGCUAAACAUUGCAGAAGAUGGAGCUGUGGGUGAACCAAAGCCAUACGUGAACCCGGCAAGAAAGUGGUGUUGCUGUCCUGAGGCUCAGGAGCACCAAUUCACUGUCCACCCUCCUUCAUCAUGGAAAGAUGUGUAUGAACAAAGAAAUUACUUGAUGAAAAAUAAAACUCACUGUAAUUUGUCAAAUUUAAUAAUUGUAUUGUGAAAAAAAAAUU
Long non-coding RNA from Scylla paramamosain (green mud crab), 2609 nucleotides. RefSeq lists it as uncharacterized. The record is from RefSeq and is a predicted model, not a curated record. NCBI's taxonomy places the organism in Eukaryota, Metazoa, Arthropoda, Malacostraca, Decapoda, Portunidae. The transcript is spliced from 5 exons.